CUUUUUUUAGGAGGGAGCACUUCAUUAUAUGGGGUAAUCUGCCACAUAUGCUCACCAUUAAUUGGAUAGACAAUGGAAGAGUACAUUGCUUCAUAUGUGGAUUUCCUAAAACAAACAGGGAUGAAUUCUUCUGCAUCUAAAUUCAGAAACUUCAUAGAAGCCAAGGCAUGACAACAUGAAAUGCCCGAUAUAGCCCAUUUCCUGCAUGCGCAUUCUAAUUUGUCUAUAUCAACUAUAAAUUUGUCCCCAGCUUGGGAAACAUGACGAACUUCAAACAACUUUUGCCCUGACCAGCUGGAAAAACAAAAUUAAAACUCAGAUAGAUGACAUUUGAUAGCCUUGAAGACAUAAAAAAAGUUUUAUAUAAU
Molecule: long non-coding RNA, 368 nt
Filed under: Vigna radiata
Lineage: Eukaryota; Viridiplantae; Streptophyta; Magnoliopsida; Fabales; Fabaceae
Description: long non-coding RNA (VRAD_LNC002340)
Source: RNAcentral